RNAcentral lists this ribosomal RNA (508 nucleotides) under uncultured bacterium. RNAcentral describes it as "partial 16S ribosomal RNA". It matches the Rfam family "Bacterial small subunit ribosomal RNA", at positions 28 to 523 of the family's 1533-position model. The record is from RNAcentral.
GAUGAACGCUAGCUACAGGCUUAACACAUGCAAGUCGAGGGGAAACGACAUUGGAAGCUUGCUUCCGAUGGGCGUCGACCGGCGCACGGGUGAGUAACGCGUAUCCAACCUGCCCAUCACUUGGGGAUAACCUUGCGAAAGUAAGACUAAUACCCAAUGAUAUCUCUAGAAGACAUCUGAAAGGGAUUAAAGAUUUAUCGGUGAUGGAUGGGGAUGCGUCUGAUUAGCUUGUUGGCGGGGUAACGGCCCAACAAGGCGACGAUCAGUAGGGGUUCUGAGAGGAAGGUCCCCCACAUUGGAACUGAGACACGGUCCAAACUCCUACGGGAGGCAGCAGUGAGGAAUAUUGGUCAAUGGGCGAGAGCCUGAACCAGCCAAGUAGCGCGCAGGAUGACGGCCCUAUGGGUUGUAAACUGCUUUUAUAAGGGAAUAAAGUGAGUCUCGUGAGACUUUUUGCAUGUACCUUAUGAAUAAGGACCGGCUAAUUCCGUGCCAGCCGCCGCGGUAA